RNAcentral lists this ribosomal RNA (401 nucleotides) under uncultured Serratia sp. RNAcentral describes it as "bacterial SSU rRNA". It matches the Rfam family "Bacterial small subunit ribosomal RNA", at positions 956 to 1356 of the family's 1533-position model. Lineage: Bacteria; Pseudomonadati; Pseudomonadota; Gammaproteobacteria; Enterobacterales; Yersiniaceae. The record is from RNAcentral.
UGAACGCGAAGAACCUUACCUACUUUUGACAUCCACAGAACUUUCCAGAGAUGGAUUGGUGCCUUCGGGAAAUGUGAGACAGGUGCUGCAUGGCUGUAGUCAGCUCGUGUUGUGAAAUGUUGGGUUAAGUCCCGCAACGAGCGCAACCCUUAUCCUUUGUUGCCAGCACGUAAUGGUGGGAACUCAAAGGAGACUGCCGGUGAUAAACCGGAGGAAGGUGGGGAUGACGUCAAGUCAUCAUGGCCCUUACGAGUAGGGUUACACACGUGCUACAAUGGCAUAUACAAAGAGAAGCGAACUCGCGAGAGCAAGCGGACCUCAUAAAGUAUGUCGUAGUCCGGAUCGGAGUCUGCAACUCGACUCCGUGAAGUCGGAAUCGCUAGUAAUCGUAGAUCAAGAAU